Lathyrus oleraceus (garden pea) is the source of this 2587-nucleotide long non-coding RNA. RefSeq lists it as uncharacterized. The transcript has 5 exons. NCBI's taxonomy places the organism in Eukaryota, Viridiplantae, Streptophyta, Magnoliopsida, Fabales, Fabaceae. The record is from RefSeq and is a predicted model, not a curated record.
CUCAAACCAAUUUUCACGAGAUGAUAACAUACCUAAUAUCAUUCGCAAAAAAUCCUAAUGUGGCAAAUAUUAUAUUACUGUAUUGAAAAUUGAGCGGUAUAUUGACAUGAAAUUGUCGAAUCCGCGAGUCAAAAAUAAGUCCAAUUAAAUAAGGAGAUGAAAUAAAAAUUUGUAAUAAACCAAUAGCAGGAGGGGUGCAAGCAAAGAACAGGGGGGUGAUGGUACCCAAACCAUUAAUUGGGUCAGGCCCAAAACACAAUCCAAUUACCAAAACUCACUUAACUAUACUAAUCAUGUAAUUAAUCCCUAUUAACAAAUGCAUAAAGAAGAAAAUAAAAAAAACAAGUUUAGCACAAGAUUUUCUCAACCAAUCGGAAGAGGCAAGGAGUUUUUAGAGCUAAAUCACCUAAUACAUCGCUUCAGUACCUACACAUCCCCAGCAGAACAAAUCACUCAAUGGAUCGCUUCAAAACCCACUUCUAAAUCACGUUGUUCGCAACUUUCACACUUAUGUUAACUUCCCCUGCAUCGUCCAUGUCAUGAUCGUCUCCGCCUUCAUGAUGAUGCACCGUCGGCCACGGAACUCAGCGCAAAGAUGGUGCUGAUGAAGUUUGAAAAUUUGUACUGUAUAGCUACUGGUGAUGGUUGAGUUGCAACAUUUGUUGACAGGGAUGAUUCGGUUUAGAUAUGGGGAGGUUAUGUACCAAAAAAAACUUAUUCAAUCAUUAUAAUGAGUCGGGUUUGCUGGCGGUUGUAGCUGUUGGGGGUGGAAGGAAAUGGGUGGUUGGUUUUUUUACGGAAGUUGUAAGGUUUUUGUGUGGAUCCAACGGCGGUGAAGCGAAGUGAUGGCGGUAAAGAACAGCGAGGUUUAAUGGUGACGGCAAGUGAGUUUUGACGGUGGAUUUGGGUCUGUUGUGAUGGGGUUUGAGGUUGAAGAAGGUGGAGGAUGGUGAAUCAUGGCGGAGAUAGGUGGAUUCGCCGGUGGGUUGGUUAUGAGCGCCGAGGAUAAAGGUAGUGACGCGAUAGCUUUCAGCGGAUGGAGGAGAGUUAAUGGUCGAUUGAAGAAGAAAAAGGAGAUGGUGAUGGUUCUGUGCGUGGGAAGUAGAUCGGAGGGUUUAGACAGACGGGGUAUGGUUGAAGUGGGAUUUCGGCAGGGUAACGGUAUAUUUCUUCCUCUCCUUUUUUUAGUGAUUGCAUGCUCCUUAUAUAGAGCGAAGGUGAGCAAUUCUUCAAUCAUGAGCUGGCAAAUCCUAGCAAGAUCAUUCCAUUAGGAUAGAAUUUUCUUAGAGAUUUGGUGGGGACCAGGGUGAUUGUCACAGGUAAAUUUCUCUUUGUCUGUAGUGUAGCCUUUCAACCUUCUAGAACUCAUGGCUUUUUAGAAAUGACUCUUUACCGUUGAAACUUUAUCCACUAAUGAUUCCUUUACCGUGGUAAAAACUUGAUUCUUCCUUCUUUUACUAUCAAGUGUUUUCAAAUCAUAUUUUCAACCUGUGUUUGCCGUAGGUGUACAGGGCAACAUGAUAUCUGCUCAGUUCUGAUUUGGUUUGGAGAAAUUACAUUGUAAAUCCGGGCUUGGAGUUGAAAGUAUAACAGAAGGACUUGCGUGUUUUGGCUCGCGUUUUGAACUUUUAAAGAUGAGAGUGUGAGCAUUAUUGUUUCAAUGCAGAGUGGCCUUUAUUGACUGAUAUAUCAUGGCGGUUUUGUUUUUUUGUUGUGGCAAGAUGCAGCAGCAGGUUUUCUAUUAUAUGGAACUGCAUCAUUCACUUCACUGGCUGGCUCGGUAACAGGUUUAUGGAAUUGUUCCUUGUCAUUGGUUAUGCCUGUUCGCACGACAACGAUGUCUUUACUUGAUUACCGCCUGUUUUGCUACCAGUGAACCGGUUUCCUUCAAGCAGAAAUUUGACGCUUGGGAAUUAAGGACCAACUUCUGCUUACGAUUUCUUGCGACCUGCUUCAAUGUGCCAUUGACAUUUUAGCUUGGUGUAACAGAUGACCUUGAUCUAAUUAUCCCGCAUGGAAUUCUGUAUUGCAAGACUUAUGUCCUUCGUGUUCCUUGGCUCAUUUGUGGUGUGCAGGCUGCAGCUGGCACGUUCACGCCUUUGAUGUACUUAUGGAUUGUGCCACCUUAACUUUGUGGUUCUGUUUGUGUUGCUUAUGGCUCAGAAUGCAUGGCAGCUAGGGUCUUAUCUUUAUGUGGGAAGCUAAUUACGAAGUUAUUUACGCACCGGGAAAUGGUCGUGCCGUUGGUAUCCAUUGUCGAAUUGUCGCGGCUCUUGGCGAGAUUAUCAUGAUGCUGCAAAGAGAGGCACUAGGGAAGUAUAACUCAUGGAACUGUAGGCUCACAUUUGGGGUACCACGCUUUUGUAAUAUGGCAGCUGCUUCGUCACAGUGUGAUUUCUGUCAUUUGUAGAAACUCAGCUUAGGCAUACUAGGCUAUGAUAAAUGAAUAAGUAUCAUUUUGUCGCUUGCUUAGAUCGUCCAUCCGUCAUCAUGCUUAUUAUAAAUAUGAUCAUGCUGUAACUUUCUAUUUUGCCUUGCUUAAAACCAAUGUUAUGGACUUGGGCCAUUAAAUGUGGACUUUGAAGUA